Molecule: transfer RNA, 56 nt
Filed under: Bos taurus (domestic cattle)
Lineage: Eukaryota; Metazoa; Chordata; Mammalia; Artiodactyla; Bovidae
Also listed under: 3 other names
Rfam family: tRNA
About the family: Transfer RNA (tRNA) molecules are approximately 80 nucleotides in length.
Source: Rfam by way of RNAcentral
GGCUCAGAGGGUAAAGCGUCUGCCUACAAUGCAGGAGACCCAGGUUCGAUCCCUGG